Molecule: ribosomal RNA, 594 nt
Filed under: uncultured Pseudozyma
Lineage: Eukaryota; Fungi; Basidiomycota; Ustilaginomycetes; Ustilaginales; Ustilaginaceae
Description: LSU rRNA
Rfam family: Eukaryotic large subunit ribosomal RNA
Source: RNAcentral
UAGUACGGCGAGUGAAGAGGGAAGAGCCCAAGAUUGAAAGCUGGAGUCUUCGGCGUCCGCAUUGUAAUCUCAAGAAGUGUUUUCCGCUUCGGACCAAGCCUAAGUCCCCUGGAAAGGGGCAUCAUAGAGGGUGAUAAUCCCGUACAUGGCUUGGAGCGCCCGAGGCUUUGUGAUACGCUUUCUAAGAGUCGAGUUGUUUGGGAAUGCAGCUCAAAAUGGGUGGUAAAUGCCAUCUAAGGCUAAAUAUUGGGGAGAGACCGAUAGCGAACAAGUACAGUGAUGGAAAGAUGAAAAGAACUUUGAAAAGAGAGUUAAACAGUACGUGAAAUUGCCAAAAGGGAAGGGUAGGAGGUCAGAGAUGCGGCCUGGGAUUCAGCCUUGCUUUUGCUUGGUGUUUUUCCCAGAUUGCAGGCCAACGUCGGUUUUGGGCACUGGAGAAGGGUAGGAGGAACGUGGCACCCCUCGGGGUGUGUUAUAGCCUCCUACUGGAUACAGCGACCGAGACCGAGGACAGCAGCGUACUCGCAAGAGCGGGCCUUCGGGCACCUUUACGCUUAGGGCGUUGGCAUAAUGGCCCUCUGCCACCCGUCUUGA